CCCCGUGAACCUUUACUAUAGCUUGACACUGAACAUUGAGCCUUGAUGUGUAGGAUAGGUGGGAGGCUUUGAAGUGUGGACGCCAGUCUGCAUGGAGCCGACCUUGAAAUACCACCCUUUAAUGUUUGAUGUUCUAACGUGGACCCGUGAUCCGGGUUGCGGACAGUGUCUGGUGGGUAGUUUGACUGGGGCGGUCUCCUCCUAAAGAGUAACGGAGGAGCACGAAGGUUGGCUAAUCCUGGUCGGACAUCAGGAGGUUAGUGCAAUGGCAUAAGCCAGCUUGACUGCGAGCGUGACGGCGCGAGCAGGUGCGAAAGCAGGUCAUAGUGAUCCGGUGGUUCUGAAUGGAAGGGCCAUCGCUCAACGGAUAAAAGGUACUCCGGGGAUAACAGGCUGAUACCGCCCAAGAGUUCAUAUCGACGGCGGUGUUUGGCACCUCGAUGUCGGCUCAUCACAUCCUGGGGCUGAAGUAGGUCCCAAGGGUAUGGCUGUUCGCCAUUUAAAGUGGUACGCGAGCUGGGUUUAGAACGUCGUGAGACAGUUCGGUCCCUAUCUGCCGUGGGCGCUGGAGAACUGAGGGGGGCUGCUCCUAGUACGAGAGGACCGGAGUGGACGCAUCACUGGUGUUCGGGUUGUCAUGCCAAUGGCACUGCCCGGUAGCUAAAUGCGGAAGAGAUAAGUGCUGAAAGCAUCUAAGCACGAAACUUGCCCCGA
Molecule: ribosomal RNA, 714 nt
Filed under: Salmonella enterica
Lineage: Bacteria; Pseudomonadati; Pseudomonadota; Gammaproteobacteria; Enterobacterales; Enterobacteriaceae
Also listed under: 1 other name
Description: partial 23S ribosomal RNA
Rfam family: Bacterial large subunit ribosomal RNA
Source: RNAcentral